CUACCAUGGCAAUCACGGGUAACGGAGAAUUAGGGUUCGAUUCCGGAGAGGGAGCCUGAGAAAUGGCUACCACAUCUACGGAAGGCAGCAGGCGCGAAAAUUGCCCAAUCCCGAUACGGGGAGGCAGUGACAAGAAAUAACAACUCUCAACUUUUGUUGAGAAGUGUAAUGAGGAUAAUUUACAAACCUUACCGAAAGCAAUUGGAGGGCAAGUCUGGUGCCAGCAGCCGCGGUAAUUCCAGCUCCAAAAGCGUAUAUUAAAGUUGUUGCAGUUAAAAAGCUCGUAGUUGAAGUUCUGGUUGUAUUGGGCCUCUGCACUUGAUGCGAAGGAACCAGCAGUCAUCCGCUUGCAAGUACAUGUCCUUCCUUAACCGGUAGGCUGUAUGAGUAAGUACUUUACCUUGAGAAAAACAGAGUGUCCCAGGCAGGUUUGUCCGGAAUGCGUUAGCAUGGAAUAAUAGAACAUGACUGAAGUCUAUUUAUUGGUUAAAGGCUUUAGUAAUGAUCAAUAGGAACAGUCGGGGGCAUUCGUACUCAGCAGUCAGAGGUGAAAUUCUAAGAUUUGCUGAAGACGAACUAAUGCGAAAGCAUUUGCCAAGGAUGUUUUCAUUAAUCAAGAACGAAAGUUAGGGGAUC
RNAcentral lists this ribosomal RNA (636 nucleotides) under uncultured eukaryote. RNAcentral describes it as "SSU rRNA". It matches the Rfam family "Eukaryotic small subunit ribosomal RNA", at positions 341 to 999 of the family's 1831-position model. The record is from RNAcentral.